Molecule: long non-coding RNA, 207 nt
Filed under: Lathyrus oleraceus (garden pea)
Lineage: Eukaryota; Viridiplantae; Streptophyta; Magnoliopsida; Fabales; Fabaceae
Description: Pisum sativum (pea) long non-coding RNA (PSAT_LNC034307)
Source: RNAcentral
UACAAGUUUUUAAAAGUAUGUGUGAAAAGGUUUAAGACACAAUGGGAUGAAUGGAUAAUGGAAGAGUGAAUGUAAAACCUCUUAGGAGGGUCCGCCUCUUGAAAUCAUAUAGAAGAUGAUUCAAGUGCGUCCUUAGGAAUAGGCUACAAAUGAGCAAUAAUAUGAACAUGGUAACAGAUGAAAGUAAAUAAAAGCGGAUACUAGAUG